Molecule: transfer RNA, 87 nt
Organism: Penicillium antarcticum
Lineage: Eukaryota; Fungi; Ascomycota; Eurotiomycetes; Eurotiales; Aspergillaceae
Rfam family: tRNA
About the family: Transfer RNA (tRNA) molecules are approximately 80 nucleotides in length. Their secondary structure includes four short double-helical elements and three loops (D, anti-codon, and T loops).
Source: Rfam
CCGGUUGUAGUUCAGUUGGUUUAGAGCGCAAGACUGUAAUUGUUAACAUUCAUCUUGAAGUCGGCGGUUCGACUCCGCCCAACCGGA